CGGGGUGAGUAAUGUCUGGGAAACUGCCUGAUGGAGGGGGGUAACUGCUGGGAACGGUAGCUAAUACCGCAUAACGUCGCAAGACCAAAGAGGGGGACCUUCGGGCCUCUUGCCAUCGGAUGUGCCCAGAUGGGAUUAGCUAGUAGGUGGGGUAACGGCUCACCUAGGCGACGAUCCCUAGCUGGUCUGAGAGGAUGACCAGCCACACUGGAACUGAGACACGGUCCAG
Molecule: ribosomal RNA, 229 nt
Filed under: uncultured bacterium
Lineage: Bacteria
Description: partial 16S ribosomal RNA
Rfam family: Bacterial small subunit ribosomal RNA
Source: RNAcentral